UAAAGAAACACUGCUCUACUUUAUGGCCU
RNAcentral lists this small RNA (29 nucleotides) under Bombyx mori (domestic silkworm). RNAcentral describes it as "ovarian small RNA-18257". Lineage: Eukaryota; Metazoa; Arthropoda; Insecta; Lepidoptera; Bombycidae. The record is from RNAcentral.